Molecule: transfer RNA, 66 nt
Filed under: Ictidomys tridecemlineatus (thirteen-lined ground squirrel)
Lineage: Eukaryota; Metazoa; Chordata; Mammalia; Rodentia; Sciuridae
Description: Spermophilus tridecemlineatus (thirteen-lined ground squirrel) tRNA
Rfam family: tRNA
About the family: Transfer RNA (tRNA) molecules are approximately 80 nucleotides in length. Their secondary structure includes four short double-helical elements and three loops (D, anti-codon, and T loops). Further hydrogen bonds mediate the characteristic L-shaped molecular structure. tRNAs have two regions of fundamental functional importance: the anti-codon, which is responsible for specific mRNA codon recognition, and the 3' end, to which the tRNAs corresponding amino acid is attached (by aminoacyl-tRNA synthetases). tRNAs cope with the degeneracy of the genetic code in two manners: having more than one tRNA (with a specific anti-codon) for a particular amino acid; and 'wobble' base-pairing, i.e. permitting non-standard base-pairing at the 3rd anti-codon position.
Source: Rfam by way of RNAcentral
GGUAUAGCCCAGUUGGUAGAGUGCUUGCCUUGCAUGCUCAAGGCCCUGGGUUCAAUCCCCAGUACC